GGGAAGGUUCAAAGGAAGGCGGAAGUGGGCACGCAUUAAGGCAACAUGGAGAAGUCGGCGGAGGAAAGGGGCAACCUGGCUGGGGUCCGGCACAUUGUCCUGGUGCUGUCGGGGAAAGGAGGCGUAGGGAAGAGCACCAUUUCGACAGAGCUGGCGUUGGCGUUGCGUCACGCUGGGAAAAAGGUCGGGAUCCUGGACGCGGACCUCUGUGGCCCCAGCAUCCCUCGCAUGCUCAAUGCGCAGGACCGAGACGUUCACCAGUGUGACGGCGGCUGGGUGCCGGUCUUUGUGGACCAAGACAAAAGCAUCGCCCUCAUGUCCAUCGGCUUCCUCCUGGAGAAGCCGGAUGACGCCGUGGUAUGGAGAGGACCCAAGAAAAACGCAUUGAUAAAACAGUUUGUCAGCGACGUGGCCUGGGGAGAACUUGACUUCUUGAUCGUGGAUACGCCCCCCGGGACUUCCGACGAGCACAUCUCCACCGUCGAAUCCCUCCGACCGUACAAGCCGCUGGGGGCAGUAUUGGUUACAACACCGCAGGCCGUCUCCGUGGGGGACGUGAGGCGGGAGCUGACCUUCUGCAAGAAGACGGGCUUGCACGUCCUCGGGAUCGUAGAGAACAUGAGCGGCUUUGUCUGCCCGCACUGCUCGGAAUGCACAAAUCUCUUUUCCAAAGGCGGAGGGCAGGAGCUGGCCAAGCACGCCGGGGUGCCGUUCCUUGGCUGCGUGCCGCUCGACCCACAGCUCAGCCGGAGCUUGGAAGAAGGCAGCGACUUCCUGCAGGAAUUUCCCAAGAGUUCGGCCUUCCCUGCGCUAGCCAAUAUCGCCCAGCAGAUCUUGGCAGGGGCGUCCAGUCACAGCUCCUGAGGCGGGCGCGAAGGGUGGAAACUACGCCGGCGCCUCCCCUUCAUGCAAAGAGAAGCAAGAGAAGCUGUCCAGGAAAUGGGAUCAGCAAGGCAGGGAGAGACGUCUUCAGGCAGUGACAGGCUUGAAGGGACUCUGCUUGAGCCAAAACGCAGCACAAGGAGGCUGUGAGCAGCACUUUUUCCCUUCUGGAUGCGAGACUCUCUGUGUCUGCCUUCGAGGAUUCCAGCCUGCGAUUGGUUUUUUUAACCCUGCAUUCAGCAUUUCGGCUGCCAAGAGCUCAGGGUAAUGAUGGUACUGCUCACAUCCACGCUCUCUUUCUCUCCCCCAACAAAGCUGCCGGCAGGACUGUGGCAUCUGGCACUUCUGACGCUGCCCUCGCUCCACCACCUCGCACCAAAGCCCCUUGUGAAGUCGACACAGCAUACGCCCAGCGAGGCGCAUCCCCUGUGCAAGACAGGAGCCCGUACGAAAGCCGUGUCUCUUGAAAAUGUAGCUCCUCUACUGCUCUGCGGAAUGAAUCACGACUCAGGAAUUUGUGGCCACACAGCCCCCAUUAAACAUUCUGUCUUAGUUUGAAAAAAAAAA
Elgaria multicarinata webbii is the source of this 1449-nucleotide RNA transcript. It is a transcript of the gene named NUBP iron-sulfur cluster assembly factor 2, cytosolic, with no coding region annotated. The record is from RefSeq and is a predicted model, not a curated record. The transcript has 8 exons. NCBI's taxonomy places the organism in Eukaryota, Metazoa, Chordata, Lepidosauria, Squamata, Anguidae.